GAUGAACGCUGGCGGCGUGCCGAAUACAUGCAAGUCUGUCGAACAGACUAGCAGAUUGCGCCUCUGACGUUAGCUGCGGACGGGCGAGUAACACGUGACUAACCUACCUAUAAGACUGGGAUUACUUCGAGAAACCUGAGCUAAUACCUGAUAAUAUUUCGAUCGGCUGGAUUCAAGAGUCAAAGACGGUUUUGCUGUCACUUAUAGAUGGAUCCGCGCCGCUUUAGCUAGUUGGGAAGGGGAAGUCUUACCAAGGCAACGAUGCGUAGCCUACCUGAAAGGGUGCUCGGCCCCCCUGGAAGUGAGACACGGUCCAGACUCCUACGGCAGGCAACAGUCGGGAAUCUUCCGUAAUGGGCGCAAGCUCGCAGGAGCAACGCCGCAUACGUGAUGAAGGUCUUCGGCUCGUAAAACUCUGUUAUUCGGGACGACCAAGUGUGUAAGUAAAUAUGCACGUCUUGACGGUACCUAAUCAGAAAGCCAGCCAUAACUACGUG
This 497-nucleotide ribosomal RNA is filed under the name uncultured bacterium. RNAcentral's name for it is "partial 16S ribosomal RNA". It matches the Rfam family "Bacterial small subunit ribosomal RNA", at positions 28 to 507 of the family's 1533-position model. The record is from RNAcentral.